This is a non-coding RNA of Stegodyphus mimosarum, 73 nucleotides long. The record is from Rfam. NCBI's taxonomy places the organism in Eukaryota, Metazoa, Arthropoda, Arachnida, Araneae, Eresidae.
GCCUUCGAAGUGUAGUGGUCAUCACGCUUGACGCGUAACCGAGAGGUCCAUGGUUCGACUCCCGGCGAAAGCG